UAUUUUGUAACAGCAUUAAGUAACUCAAUCUAGCUUAGAUCAUUAUAGAUUAGAUAGAAUCCAGAUUAGGUUGGUAUGACUAGAUUAAACUAAUUAAGAUUAGAUAGAUCUACCAGGGUGGGAUAAAUAUUAUUAGGAUAUGCUAGAAUCUUUUAAGAAGGAUGGACAUUGUUUAGGCUAGAUAUUUUAAUGAGUGAUAAUCUAAGUUGAUUAGUUAUCUUAUGAAUUUUUUUAUUUAUAUUUAUGCCUAUAUGUAUAUGCAGAUGUAAUUGUGGACAUUACUCCACAACUCAUCACACUCAAUCAAAGAUCCAAAUCAGACAAGUAUCAUAAGAACAAACAUUCAAGUGCAUAGAUACACACAUAAAAAUAAUAUUUUUGUUUUUGUUCCUAAGAGUAGGUCUCCUAUUCCUAAAGGUCACUUUAGGUACAGGAUUUCAAAGUGUGAAAUCCACAGUUGUCUUUAGAAGGAAAAGGUAAGAAUAAUCAGAGUAAAGCGGAAAUAGAUGAGAAAAGAUUAAGAUAAGUUUAGAAAAGGAUCAGAGUAGCAAAGGUAAGUAGAUAAUGAUUGUCCAGUUCUAUCUAGGUUUUGUCCUACAGUCAACAUUCCUCUGAUACCACUUCUGUCACACCCGGAUUUUAGGGGUCCAAAGCCCGGGCGUAAACAUAAUCACCAGGUGUGCUGGGACCAAGUCUCACACAUAUGAUGAAUCAUGGCACAGGAUCGAAUGUCACAUCUUUACUACAUAACAGGAGUUCUAUACAAAAUAAUUAAGUAUUUACAUUAUAAGGAGACAACGGUCCAGCAACCCAAAGUUGGCUGGGAGACGACGACCUAGACCUCUCACGAACUCGCACAGCAUCCUUCAAGCGCCUCGUCCUGUGGUACCUGUUCUUGACCUGUGGGGGGGUGUGAGACAGCAAGAGUGAGCUCACAUACGUUCAUCGCUCAACAAGUUGUGGGGAAUAAUGUGCAUGAACUCGCCAAAGGUGGGAGCUCACGUGAAGUGUAAGGCUUACCAACGGAGAUGGUUGAAGCUGAGCAUUGCUUUUAAAGUUGGUCAAAAUUUUAUUAGCAAUUACUAAGUAUAAGUAAAUACCAACCCAAUUAAGUAGUAGAACAGAAGUAACAACAUCACCUGUGAUGCAAUGCAUAUGACAAAUUGAAUUUAAGUUCCAUAGAUUAAUCAUGUGAGGGUCCGAGCCGCUCAUGACCGUGAGCACGGCUAGUAUACCAGUUUUACACUCUGCAGAGGUUGCGCAUCUUUACCCACAAGUCAUGUUACCCAUCUGCCAAGGGAUCGCGACUUCCCAUACACCUCUACCAAGGAGGCGAGGCAGGGUAACACUACGAGGCCUUUACAAAGUUCCACUAGCUUCAGAAAACCCGCUACAGUUUAUAGGAAGCUCCAAUGCAGGAAUCCCUUGCAGGACCGCCAUCGCAGCAAAAUCCUCCCGAGGGCCUCCCUACACUGACCACUCCCCUACUGCCCUUGCCCCUUUCGGGUAAGGUAGUCCUCCACUAGCUUUCCUAAUUAAUCAGCCAAGGGCGUCCCAUUAAACCCUUGUGGUAGCACUGUUUUCCCGGGUGGUCGCUCCAUGUUCCAAUUAACAUAAUGAUCUUAUCAUGAACGAUAAAUAACAACGGAUAACAAAAGUAUAAUCAUGAGUAAUGUAUCUUCAUACCCAAAACCACAUAAAGCACUAGCAAGUACUACCCAAAAAGUUCAGUGGUAACAAGGUAUAAAGAUAAUCAAACUAGGGUAACCUAUUGGGUCCCAUCAAAAUUAACCUAUGCAGAUCAUUAUGAUUAAUCAGAACAUGGCUGGGUAAAAAGAAGUGAUCAAGGGCACAACUUGCCUGGGACUUGAGAUUCCAGGUACCAACUUGCUUUUCAGAUGACACGUGUCCUCGCGCUAGUCGUAGCAAUACAAGCAAACAUGGUAUAGAUAAAAUUAACAUCACACCAAACAUAAGAACAAACUGAGUAAUAAUGAUCUACGCGCUGCUACGAGACUAACGUAACUUGAACGGAUCAAAUCAGAGUUAAAACGGAGGAGUUAUGAUUUUCUGAAGAUUAUAUGUGUUUUGUACAAGAUUAAAUAGGAUAUAAAUUUUAAUGUGACAUUCAUGUCAAAACAGUGGUACUAAUUGAUAAACAAUAUUAUUAUAAAAUUAUAGAAACUAGAAUGGAUCAAUUUGGAGUUCAUAUGAAGUUUCUGUGAUUUAUACAACUUCUAGCAAUUAUUUUUGUAUUAAAAUCAAUUUCUAAAAUUAAAUAACUGAAUUCUCAGAGCUGUGGACUGGGCGCACAAAAUCUAGACAACCCGGGGGCCGCUACAUGAAUUUUCCUAAGACUCAGAGGUAUUCCGCGAGGACGGCGGGUUGUUUUUAGGAAAAUCUGGGGGCUCUUAUGCAUAAUAGGCACGGCGAAGGGGUAUCCUUUCAUCUAGGCCGCGCGAUCUGAUUUCAACGAUCCAGAUUAUAAUCCGAGCCCCGCGAACCGGUACAGGCUCACAACCGUUGGAUCCGAGAUCCACGGCACAGAUCACUUCCAUCCGAACGCUGCUGAACUUCUAAUCGUGGCCGCCCGAUCUUCAUCUAAUGGACCGGAUCAACUCACGCGAAGGGAUACAUGAAUUCUAUUCACAGCCGCAUGAUACCGGAUCAACGACCCAGCACCAUCUCCUUCCUCUCGUCGCUCAGACCGACGGCCAAGCGCGGCGGCAGUACACACCGGUGAGUCCCAGCCCGGUGCACCGGUGAACUACCCAUGUGCCUACUAGCAAAACACGACACAGAGAACAGAGGGAAUCACCCAGCUGGGAGUUCUUACCUGGACUCGGCAGGUGGCAGGACUGCCCACGCGCUACGGUGCUGGCUCACUACAACAGGUUCGACCGGGGCCCAGGACCUUCUCCGC
Molecule: long non-coding RNA, 2923 nt
Filed under: Zea mays
Lineage: Eukaryota; Viridiplantae; Streptophyta; Magnoliopsida; Poales; Poaceae
Description: long non-coding RNA (ZMAY_LNC003537)
Source: RNAcentral